UUUGUAGAAUGAACCGGCGAGUUACGAUUUGUUGCAAGGUUAAGCGGAAAAAGCGGAGCCGUAGCGAAAGCGAGUCUGAAUAGGGCGCAUAAGUAACAGGUCGUAGACCCGAAACCAGGUGAUCUACCCAUGUCCAGGAUGAAGGUAAGGUAAUACUUACUGGAGGUCCGAACCCACGCACGUUGAAAAGUGCGGGGAUGAGGUGUGGGUAGCGGAGAAAUUCCAAUCGAACUUGGAGAUAGCUGGUUCUCUCCGAAAUAGCUUUAGGGCUAGCCUCGAGGUAAAGAGUCAUGGAGGUAGAGCACUGUUUGGACUAGGGGCCCUUCUCGGGUUACCGAAUUCAGAUAAACUCCGAAUGCCAUGUACUUAUACUCGGGAGUCAGACUGCGAGUGAUAAGAUCCGUAGUCGAAAGGGAAACAGCCCAGACCACCAGUUAAGGUCCCCAAAUAUAUGUUAAGUGGAAAAGGAUGUGGGGUUGCUUAGACAACCAGGAUGUUGGCUUAGAAGCAGCCACCAUUGAAAGAGUGCGUAAUAGCUCACUGGUCGAGUGACCCCGCGCCGAAAAUGUACCGGGGCUAAACAUAUUACCGAAACUGUGGAUGAACCUCUUUAGAGGUUCGUGGUAGGAGAGCGUUCUAAGGGCGGUGAAGUCAGACCGGAAGGACUGGUGGAGCGCUUAGAAGUGAGAAUGCCGGUAUGAGUAGCGAAA
Molecule: ribosomal RNA, 710 nt
Filed under: Listeria monocytogenes
Lineage: Bacteria; Bacillati; Bacillota; Bacilli; Caryophanales; Listeriaceae
Description: partial 23S ribosomal RNA
Rfam family: Bacterial large subunit ribosomal RNA
Source: RNAcentral